CGCACAGCAACAUUGCUACAUCACUGACAUGUCACAAAAGGGGAGGGGUAGGCAGGGGUUACACUAGUUUAACCUUGGCAAACAGGUCCAGACAAGUCCUUGGUACAAGAUUAGCAUAAGCAGACAUGGCAGGGCAAGACUUGGGUAUAAGAUUAGCACAGGCAAACACCUCUGAAGUCCCACCACCCAAAGUGCAAUAGAACUUCCUUUGAAUGUCUGGACCUCUUGGCAAGUUUGGUGAUGGGAUUAGGCUUUCCUUGGCCAACAAUCAGCUCAGCAAUUGUCACCUCUGGGAACUUCCUGGAGUCCUUUUUCAAGGGGAAAAUAGCUUUGGAAUGGAGGAAACUGGCAAAGGAGUUGAUUUUAUAUUAUUUUUAAAGCUAGGUAACUUCCCUGAGCUGUCAAGUUGAAAGGAUACUGAAAUAUACUCAGAGUCGCAAAGUGAUUUCAUGCUCUUUAUCCAGCUCAUAGUGGUGAGGAGGAAUGAAUGAAAGUCCCCUCAAAGUAUCUGCUUUAUAUACAUUAUUUACACAAUGGGCUGCACAUGAUUGGCUAAUUCCAGAAUUCUACUGUAAGCCAAUCAGGUUGUGGAUUCGCUUCUAUCUGGAGAAUGAUUGGGUGGUUCCUGCCAACCAAUCAUACUGCUGCAUUGUUCUAGGACCAAUCAGACUGCUGCAUUCUGAAUCCUAUUGUUCUAGGAAGGCAAGGGAAGGUCUGGAAGCAGCUCCAGGCUCAUAACCUCUUGUGCAGGUGCUGGGUCGGGGCCUGUUUCCGGUAGUGGUAGCCUGCUGAGGGCGUCCGCAUGGCCCAUCGCCUUCCCAGGGCGGUGAAUCAGUGCAUACUGGUAGCUGGCAAGGAAAAUUGACCACCUGAGGACGCGAGGAGACAGCACUUGGGGGGUCUGCUUUUCGGGGGGCAAACAAGCCAAGCAACGACUUGUGGUCAGUACAAGAAAUCAUGGAAUUUUUUUACUCCCUUCACGAUUGCCAGACCCUCCUUGUCGAUUUGCGAGUAGUUCCGCUCGGUUGCGUUGAGUGUCUGGGAAAAGUAUGCCACCGGUACCUCUCUUCCAUCCGGGAGUUGGUGUCCCAGGACAGCGCCGAUGCCAUAGGGCGAGGCGUCGCAUGCUAGCACCACCGGCAGCCUCUCAUCGAAGUGUGCCAAGACCGAGUUUGAGACAAGCAAGUCCUUGACUGCCUGGAAUGCGGCCUCCUGGCGCUGGCCCCACACCCAAGGGGCCCACUUGUCCAGGAGUCUGUGUAGGGGCUCUGCUACCGCCGCCUUGUGGGGAAGGAAGGAAUGGUAAAAGUUCAAUAGUCCCAAGAAGGCCUGGAGUUCAGUCUUGCUCUUGGGCUCUGGGGCAUCACAAAUGGCCCGUACCUUGUCCCCAGUUGGGUGGACCCCUUCUGCGUCCACCAUAAAUCCCAGAAAGUCCACCUGAGGCACUCCUAGUAGACAUUUUUCCCGCUUCACCUUGAGACCUGCCGUCUGGAAACGGUGCAGAACGGUGCGGAGGCGGUCCUCAAACUCCUCUGGUGUGGGCCCGGCAAUCAACACAUCAUCGAAGAAGGGGGUGACGCUAGGAAUCCCUUUAAGGAGAGAGUACAUUAGAUUCUGGAAUAUGCCUGGUGCCACGAUGACACCGAAUUGCAGCCGCUUUACCCUGAACGCUCCUCUGUGCAUCACAAUCAUCUGUGUCUCUGCUGUGGCCUCAUCUACUGGCAGCUGUUGAUAUGCUUGGGCCAAGUCCAGCUUGCCAAAAAUUUUCAACCCAGCCAGGGUGGCAAGGACAUGGCUGACCACUGGCACUGGGUAUGCAUGGGCCGUGAUGGCCUUGUUUAUGGUACAUUUGUAGUCUGCGCAGAUGCGGGCCGAACCAUUAGGCUUGACGUGUGUGACGAUUGGGGUUUCCCGGGGGCAUUAGGUACUGGCUCCAGCACUCCUUGCUCCACGAGCUGGUCCAAUUCCUCAUCUAUACGGGGUUUCAGGGCGAACGGGACCCGGCGGGCCUUGAGCCUGACCGGUCGUACUGCGGGGUCAAGCUGUAGAGCAAUGGGGGGGCCGUAUACUGUCCCAAUUUCCCAUCGAAAACCCCCGGAAAUUCCUUGCAUAUGGCGUCCACAUCCACUUGUAAGCUAGUGUGGUUCACCCCGGUGACGGCUAGCCCCAGUGGUCCAAACCAUGCCAAUCCCAGUAAGCUAAUGUAGGGGCCCUUGACCACAAGCAAGUCCAGUUGCCGCAUCCGCCCUCGGUAUUGCACCCUGAAGGUCCCCACCCCCAUUGUGGGGACCUUACGUUUCUGGAAGUCCAGGAGGGUGAAUGGGGCCGGCCUGAGUUUGGGACCCCCAGUAGGACACAGUUUCCUUAAGGUCCUUGCCGAGAUUAUGGAUAGAGUUGAACCCGUGUCAAGCUUCAUGUGCCAUGGGGCCCCCUCUAUCUGUACCUCUACAUAAAUUUUCUCUACGUUGGGGUGGGGCAAUUGGUAUACCUGGAAGUCCAUGAGCUCCGUCGAGUUGCCUUGGUGCGUUGGGCCCCGGGACCUGGGGCUCUUGGAUUGGUCAUCUGAUGCCUGGCGUCGGGUGGGCCAAGCCCGACACACCCGGGCGAUGUGUCCAGAUUUUCUGCACUGCCUGCACUCUGUGUUGCGGAAAUGGCAGGUCCUCCUCUCGUGACUUUCCCCGCAGCUUGCGCAGUUCCCUCCUUCUCGUCGAGGCAGGUGUGGUAUGUGGGCUGCUUGAGUGCGCUGCUGUACUCAGUGCACCUCCUCCCUAUCGGAUCCUGAGUCGUCGGUGAGGUCUUCGUGGUGGACCCUCAGUUGGGAUGUCAGGCUCGGCCGUGCCUCUUGCGUCGACCUCUCGGCAGCUUCCGUUGCCAGGGCCUCCUCCAGAGUGACCUGGAACGUUAGAUCCUUCUUAGCGUAGAGGCGGCGUUGCAGCUUCUCAUCCUUCAGGCCACCGACGAGGCGGUCACAAAGCAUGUUCUCCAGCUCUGAGAAGUUGCAGAAUUGGGCAGCUUGGCGGAGAGAGGUCACAAACCCAGUUAUGGUUUCCCCAGGGGCUUGCCACUUUGCAUAGAAGGCAUUUCGACGAGCCACCACUGAGGCCUGCGGCGAAAAGUGCCCCUUCAGCUGUUCCAUUAUUGUUUUGUAUGGAACAGUAGUGACGUCUUCAGGCGCAAGGAGAGCCCGGGCGAUUUCAAACGUCUCCUCUCCGCAGACGCUGAAGAAUAUCGCCCUCUUCUUGGCGUCUUCUUUGUCGGUGACCCCUUUGGCUUCUAGGAGGAAGGUGAAACGGGAGGCGUACGCUUCCCAGUCUCCAGAUGCUGCGUUGAACAGCAAGAAGCUGCUGUCGGUUGCCAUUCUGAGUUCCUUGUGUCCCGGAGCUGAAGCCUGGAUACAUGGUGCGAGGCAGCGGUGCGGCAGGUGGCGGUGCUGCGGUGCUGUGUGUGGCAGUCAGCUCAGCGGGAUCCCACCUUCAUCGCCAGUGAAAUAUACUCAGAGUCGCAAAGUGAUUUCAUGCUCUUUAUUCAGCUCAUAGUGGUGAGGAGGAAUGAAUGAAAGUCCCCUCAAAGUAUCUGCUUUAUAUACAUUAUUUACACAAUGGGCAGCACAUGAUUGGCUAAUUCCAGAAUUCUACUGUAAGCCAAUCAGGUUGUGGAUUCGCUUCUAUCUGGAGAAUGAUUGGGUGGUUCCUGCCAACCAAUCAUACUGCUGCAUUGUUCUAGGACCAAUCAGACUGCUGCAUUCUGAAUCCUAUUGUUCUAGGACCAAUCAGACUGCUGCGUUUUGGAUCCUAUUGUUCUAGGACCAAUCAGACUGCUGCAGUUUGGAUCCUAUUCAACUCAGUACAUAACAGAUACAUUCAGGCAUAAUAUUGGUAACAUUUAACUUUAAAGAUGUGCCCCCCCCCCGUAAUUUCCAUUACAGUUUACCCACCGCUUGACCAUCAAUAAAAAAAAAUCCUCAAUGGCGUUUGCAGAAAAGAUAAAGCAGUAAAAAUCAACUAUAAGAAGAGUUAACAAUAAUCUACAACUUUUGAAAAGUUGAAAUAAGUCUAAUCUAAAAACAUUAAAACUCACAUCAACUUUCUGAAUGUCUGGAUAGACUUUUCUAAGCUAAAAUAUGCCCAAAAGAGGCCCAGUGAAGGUGCCUGCCAGAUAACAGCAGAGUUAAGAGCAGAGUUCUCCUUGCAUCCGCAGUACUCAUAAUUCCAACAAAAUAAGAGAAGCCUAAACCCACCAAAGUGAAAAACCUCACAGGAUCCACACCUCCGUUAGCCAUGGGACCAUCCUUUGCAAUUGAAAUAAAG
This is a non-coding RNA of Podarcis lilfordi (Lilford's wall lizard), 4307 nucleotides long. NCBI's taxonomy places the organism in Eukaryota, Metazoa, Chordata, Lepidosauria, Squamata, Lacertidae. The record is from the annotation of a GenBank genome assembly.